This 253-nucleotide ribosomal RNA is filed under the name uncultured bacterium. Its description in RNAcentral is "partial 16S ribosomal RNA". It matches the Rfam family "Bacterial small subunit ribosomal RNA", at positions 524 to 776 of the family's 1533-position model. The record is from RNAcentral.
UACGAAGGGGGCUAGCGUUGCUCGGAAUCACUGGGCGUAAAGCGCACGUAGGCGGGUCUUUAAGUCAGGGGUGAAAUCCCGGAGCUCAACUCCGGAACUGCCUUUGAUACUGGAGAUCUUGAGUCCGGGAGAGGUGAGUGGAACUCCGAGUGUAGAGGUGAAAUUCGUAGAUAUUCGGAAGAACACCGGUGGCGAAGGCGGCGACCUGGGUCGAGACUGACGCUGAGGCGCGAAAGCGUGGGGAGCAAACAGG